CCCUUAGACGUUCUGGGCCGCACGCGCGCUACACUGACCAGUGCAACAAGCAUCCGUCCUUGGCCGACAGGCCCGGGCAAUCUUUGGACGCUGGUCGUGAUGGGGAUAGACUUUUGCAAUUUUUGGUCUUCAACGAGGAAUUCCUAGUAAACGCAAGUCAUCAACUUGCAUUGAUUACGUCCCUGCCCUUUGUACACACCGCCCGUCGCACCUACCGAUUGAAUGGUCCGGUGAACCAUCUGGAUUGGAUCGCAAGAUUCGAGAAGUUUAGUAAACCUUAUCACUUAGAGGAAGGAGAAGUCGUAACA
Molecule: ribosomal RNA, 308 nt
Filed under: uncultured eukaryote
Lineage: Eukaryota
Description: partial 18S ribosomal RNA
Rfam family: Eukaryotic small subunit ribosomal RNA
Source: RNAcentral